GAUGAACGCUGGCGGCGUGCCUAACACAUGCAAGUCGAGCGAACGGACGAGAAGCUUGCUUCUCUGAUGUUAACGGCGGACGGGUGAGUAACACGUGGAUAACCUACCUAUAAGACUGGGAUAAGUUCGUGAAACCGGAGCUAAUACCGGAUAAUAUUUUGAACCGCAUGGUUAAAAAGUGAAAGACGGUCUUGCUGCCACCUAUAGAUGGAUCCGCGCUGCAUUAGCUAGUUGGUAAGGUAACGGCUUACCAAGGCGACGAUGCAUAGCCGACCUGAGAGGGGGAACGGCCACACUGGGACUGAGAGGCGGUCCAGACUCCUACGGGAGGCAGAAGUAGGGAAGCGUGCGCAAAGGGCGAAAGCCUGACGGAGCAGCGCCGCGCGGGUGAUGAAGGUCUGCGGAGCGUAAAACUCUGUUAUUGGGGAAGAACAUAUGUGUAAGUAACUGUGCACAUCUUGACGGUACCUAGUCAGAAAGCCACGGCUAACUACGUG
This 497-nucleotide ribosomal RNA is filed under the name uncultured bacterium. Its description in RNAcentral is "partial 16S ribosomal RNA". It matches the Rfam family "Bacterial small subunit ribosomal RNA", at positions 28 to 507 of the family's 1533-position model. The record is from RNAcentral.